Molecule: long non-coding RNA, 1154 nt
Organism: Maniola jurtina (meadow brown)
Lineage: Eukaryota; Metazoa; Arthropoda; Insecta; Lepidoptera; Nymphalidae
Exons: 3
Source: RefSeq, a predicted model, not a curated record
UCAAUCAUACAAUAUGUAUUUAUUAUAAGAUACAGUACUUGUGACAUGUGGACAAAUUAUUGUAUUUAAAAAAAUCUUAUAUAAUCACUACAUUGAACAAAUUACAAGGGUCGAGAGAAACGUAACAUUCACUAUUAUUAUGCCCAAAUGUGUGAUAAAUUAAUUGAGGUAGAUAACCCGCGCGCGGGUCCAAAUUAUAAUUUACAACUUUCGGAUUCCACCGUCGAGGGUCCAAGCAAAUAAGAAUGAUUUAAACAUUAUGCUAUAUAUAAUUAAAUAUCUACAAAUUGAAUAUAAUAAGUAGUGCACACUAUUCGGGAUACAGGCUCCACAUAGUACUUACUAUCGGAUCUCAAACAUUUACAAUAAAGGAGAACAUUCAUAUAAUAAACGCAACGCAUAUAGGAAACAUGUUGAGAGACAACUCGCGAACGCCACACUAGCCGCGCCCGGGCCGUUCCCGUGCCGGGCGCGGCGCCUCACUCCCCAGGCGCGAAGCAAAUUACCUCUGCUAUAAUACUUAGCAAUAAAUACUUAACUAUUUACAAUCAUCGCGAAGCCUGGCCGCAGUGGCGGCUAUUUGUCUACCAUUUUCUACAAUCUCAAGACUAAGUUGGCUAGUGGCGCCGCCUGCCGGCCGGCUCCCCUACUCUGUACACGCGUCGCUUCGCAGCCGUAAUGUGAUUCACGCCUUCACACACCCGUCCCCCCAGGAAAUAACGAAAUGCGUAUCAGUCACAGUCGGUUGAGGACAGCAUCGAUCGGUGGUCUUAGGCUGAGAUUUACACCGCAUUUUAACUUUGCUCAGACUUAAGACAUUGUUAAAACGAGACAGCGUUAUAUCGCUGACAUACGAGUAAGACAGGCUUCCGUUUGAACGGAAACUUAAGUCUGAGCAAAGUCAGAGUACGCUCUGUAGAUCUCAGCUUUAGUAUGAGAUUUUACAUCUCAUCAACGUUGAUUGAGUUCAAACAUCGACACACAAUAACAUCAGAGUGAAAUGGAUCUAAACCUCCUUGAUUUAAAAUUAAUAAUUCAAUACCACCGAUUUUAAUUUCGCACGGAUUCCGCUUGCUGUAGAUAUAUGAAUGAAUUUGAGUUUCAAAACAAGAGAGUUAAGGUCCAUUUUACUUAUAACGCAUAAGUGUUUCGAU